CCUACGGGUGACUGCAGUGAGGAAUAUUGGUCAAUGGACGAGAGUCUGAACCAGCCAAGUAGCGUGAAGGAUGACUGCCCUAUGGGUUGUAAACUUCUUUUAUAUGGGAAUAAAACGUUCCACGUGUGGGAUUUUGUAUGUACCAUAUGAAUAAGGAUCGGCUAACUCCGUGCCAGCAGCCGCGGUAAUACGGAGGAUCCGAGCGUUAUCCGGAUUUAUUGGGUUUAAAGGGAGCGUAGGUGGAUUGUUAAGUCAGUUGUGAAAGUUUGCGGCUCAACCGUAAAAUUGCAGUUGAAACUGGCAGUCUUGAGUACAGUAGGGGUGGGCGGAAUUCGUGGUGUAGCGGUGAAAUGCUUAGAUAUCACGAAGAACUCCGAUUGCGAAGGCAGUUCACUGGACUGCAACUGACACUGAGGCUCGAAAGUGUGGGUAUCAAACAGGAUUAGAUACCCCAGUAGUC
RNAcentral lists this ribosomal RNA (460 nucleotides) under uncultured bacterium. Its description in RNAcentral is "partial 16S ribosomal RNA". It matches the Rfam family "Bacterial small subunit ribosomal RNA", at positions 338 to 795 of the family's 1533-position model. The record is from RNAcentral.